CCUACGGGAGGCAGCAGUGGGGAAUUUUGGACAAUGGGCGCAAGCCUGAUCCAGCAAUGCCGCGUGAGUGAAGAAGGCCUUCGGGUUGUAAAGCUCUUUUGUCAGGGAAGAAACGGUGGGGGCUAAUAUCCCCUGCUAAUGACGGUACCUGAAGAAUAAGCACCGGCUAACUACGUGCCAGCAGCCGCGGUAAUACGUAGGGUGCAAGCGUUAAUCGGAAUUACUGGGCGUAAAGCGUGCGCAGGCGGUUUUGUAAGUUUGUCGUGAAAUCCCCGGGCUCAACCUGGGAAUGGCGAUGAAGACUGCAAGGCUAGAAUCUGGCAGAGGGGGGUAGAAUUCCACGUGUAGCAGUGAAAUGCGUAGAGAUGUGGAGGAACACCGAUGGCGAAGGCAGCCCCCUGGGUCAAGAUUGACGCUCAUGCACGAAAGCGUGGGGAGCAAACAGGAUUAGAUACCCUGGUAGUCCACGCCCUAAACGAUGUCUACUAGUUGUCGGGUUUUAAUUAACUUGGUAACGCAGCUAACGCGUGAAGUAGACCGCCUGGGGAGUACGGUCGCAAGNUUGAAACUUAAGGAAUUGACGG
This 584-nucleotide ribosomal RNA is filed under the name uncultured bacterium. RNAcentral's name for it is "bacterial SSU rRNA". It matches the Rfam family "Bacterial small subunit ribosomal RNA", at positions 338 to 916 of the family's 1533-position model. The record is from RNAcentral.